This 499-nucleotide ribosomal RNA is filed under the name uncultured bacterium. RNAcentral's name for it is "partial 16S ribosomal RNA". It matches the Rfam family "Bacterial small subunit ribosomal RNA", at positions 29 to 507 of the family's 1533-position model. The record is from RNAcentral.
ACGAACGCUGGCGGCGUGCCUAAUACAUGCAAGUCGAGCGGACUGAUUAAGAGCUUGCUCUUAUGACGUUAGCGGCGGACGGGUGAGUAACACGUGGGCAACCUGCCCUGUAGAUCGGGAUAACACCGAGAAAUCGGUGCUAAUACCGGGUAAUAUCUGAGAUCACAUGAUCUUAGGUUAAAAGAUGGCUCCGGCUAUCACUACAGGAUGGGCCCGCGGCGCAUUAGCUAGUUGGUAAGGUAAUGGCUUACCAAGGCGACGAUGCGUAGCCGACCUGAGAGGGUGAUCGGCCACACUGGGACUGAGACACGGCCCAGACUCCUACGGGAGGCAGCAGUAGGGAAUCUUCCGCAAUGGACGAAAGUCUGACGGAGCAACGCCGCGUGAGUGAUGAAGGGUUGCGGCUCGUAAAGCUCUGUUGUUAGGGAAGAAACAGUACCGAACGAACUAGGUCGGUACCUUGACGGUACCUAACCAGAAAGCCACGGCUAACUACGUG